ACUCCUACGGGAGGCAGCAGUGGGGAAUAUUGCACAAUGGGCGCAAGCCUGAUGCAGCCAUGCCGCGUGUGUGAAGAAGGCCUUCGGGUUGUAAAGCACUUUCAGCGGGGAGGAAGGCAAUGCGGUUAAUAACCGUGUUGAUUGACGUUACCCGCAGAAGAAGCACCGGCUAACUCCGUGCCAGCAGCCGCGGUAAUACGGAGGGUGCAAGCGUUAAUCGGAAUUACUGGGCGUAAAGCGCACGCAGGCGGUCUGUCAAGUCGGAUGUGAAAUCCCCGGGCUCAACCUGGGAACUGCAUUCGAAACUGGCAGGCUUGAGUCUUGUAGAGGGGGGUAGAAUUCCAGGUGUAGCGGUGAAAUGCGUAGAGAUCUGGGGGAAUACCGGUGGCGAAGGCGGCCCCCUGGACAAAGACUGACGCUCAGGUGCGAAAGCGUGGGGAGCAAACAGGAUUAGAAACCCGGGUAGUCCCAUGA
Molecule: ribosomal RNA, 474 nt
Filed under: uncultured organism
Description: partial 16S ribosomal RNA
Rfam family: Bacterial small subunit ribosomal RNA
Source: RNAcentral